This 393-nucleotide ribosomal RNA is filed under the name uncultured bacterium. Its description in RNAcentral is "partial 16S ribosomal RNA". It matches the Rfam family "Bacterial small subunit ribosomal RNA", at positions 523 to 918 of the family's 1533-position model. The record is from RNAcentral.
AUACGGAGGACGCGAGCGUUAUCCGGAUUCAUUGGGUUUAAAGGGUGCGCAGGCGGCCGUGCAAGUCAGCGGUGAAAGCCCGGGGCUCAACCCCGGAAGUGCCGUUGAUACUGCAUGGCUGGAAUGCGGUCGAGGCGGGCGGAACGUGGCGGGGUGCGGGGGAAUGCGUAGAUAUGCCACAGAACGCCGAAAGCGGGGGCAGCUCGCCAGGCCUGUAUGGACGCUCGGGCACGAAAGCGUGGGGAUCGAACAGGAUUAGAUACCCUGGUAGUCCACGCCGUAAACGAUGGGCGCUCGUCGUCGGCGGCAGACAGUCGGCGGCCAAGCGAAAGCGAUAAGCGCCCCACCUGGGGAGUACGGUCGCAAGGCUGAAACUCAAAGGAAUUGGCGGGG